RNAcentral lists this ribosomal RNA (690 nucleotides) under Rhodococcus qingshengii. RNAcentral describes it as "bacterial SSU rRNA". It matches the Rfam family "Bacterial small subunit ribosomal RNA", at positions 19 to 726 of the family's 1533-position model. The record is from RNAcentral. Lineage: Bacteria; Bacillati; Actinomycetota; Actinomycetes; Mycobacteriales; Nocardiaceae.
AUGGCUCAGGACGAACGCUGGCGGCGUGCUUAACACAUGCAAGUCGAGCGGUAAGGCCUUUCGGGGUACACGAGCGGCGAACGGGUGAGUAACACGUGGGUGAUCUGCCCUGCACUUCGGGAUAAGCCUGGGAAACUGGGUCUAAUACCGGAUAUGACCUCCUAUCGCAUGGUGGGUGGUGGAAAGAUUUAUCGGUGCAGGAUGGGCCCGCGGCCUAUCAGCUUGUUGGUGGGGUAAUGGCCUACCAAGGCGACGACGGGUAGCCGACCUGAGAGGGUGACCGGCCACACUGGGACUGAGACACGGCCCAGACUCCUACGGGAGGCAGCAGUGGGGAAUAUUGCACAAUGGGCGAAAGCCUGAUGCAGCGACGCCGCGUGAGGGAUGACGGCCUUCGGGUUGUAAACCUCUUUCAGCAGGGACGAAGCGCAAGUGACGGUACCUGCAGAAGAAGCACCGGCUAACUACGUGCCAGCAGCCGCGGUAAUACGUAGGGUGCAAGCGUUGUCCGGAAUUACUGGGCGUAAAGAGUUCGUAGGCGGUUUGUCGCGUCGUUUGUGAAAACCAGCAGCUCAACUGCUGGCUUGCAGGCGAUACGGGCAGACUUGAGUACUGCAGGGGAGACUGGAAUUCCUGGUGUAGCGGUGAAAUGCGCAGAUAUCAGGAGGAACACCGGUGGCGAAGGCGGGU